RNAcentral lists this ribosomal RNA (475 nucleotides) under uncultured Geobacter sp. Its description in RNAcentral is "bacterial SSU rRNA". It matches the Rfam family "Bacterial small subunit ribosomal RNA", at positions 73 to 526 of the family's 1533-position model. Lineage: Bacteria; Pseudomonadati; Thermodesulfobacteriota; Desulfuromonadia; Geobacterales; Geobacteraceae. The record is from RNAcentral.
CCGGAGCUUGCUCCGGUGAAAGUGGCGCACGGGUGAGUAACGCGUGGAUAAUCUGCCCUGGUAUCUGGGAUAACAUCUCGAAAGGGGUGCUAAUACCGGAUAAGCCUACGGGAUCCUCGGAUUCUGCAGGAAAAGGKGGCCUCUAUUUAUAAGCUACCGUAUCAGGAUGAGUCCGCGUACCAUUAGCUAGUUGGUGGGGUAAUGGCCCACCAAGGCUACGAUGGUUAGCUGGUCUGARAGGAUGAUCAGCCACACUGGAACUGAGACACGGUCCAGACUCCUACGGGAGGCAGCAGUGGGGAAUUUUGCGCAAKGGGGGAAACCCUGACGCAGCAACGCCGCGUGAGUGAUGAAGGCUUUCGGGUCGUAAAGCUCUGUCAGAGGGGAAGAAAUGAGACUGGCUAAUAUCCAGUUUUCUUGACGGUACCCUCAAAGGAAGCACCGGCUAACUCCGUGCCAGCAGCCGCGGUAAUAC